RNAcentral lists this ribosomal RNA (382 nucleotides) under uncultured eukaryote. RNAcentral describes it as "partial 18S ribosomal RNA". It matches the Rfam family "Eukaryotic small subunit ribosomal RNA", at positions 592 to 976 of the family's 1831-position model. The record is from RNAcentral.
UGUAAGCGUAUACCAAAGUUGUUGCAGUUAAAACACUCGUAGUCGGAACUUGGCCGUUCCGGAUGUGUGCACGUCGUGUGCGCACUUUGCGGGGACGGCUUUUGUGGUCUUGCGUAGGAUGAGGCACUUUUAUUAGUGAACGUCCUCACGCAACCACUCUUUACUGUGAGAAAAUCAGAGUGCUCAAAGCAGGCAUUUGCCGUGAAUGUAUUAGCAUGGAAUAAUAGAAUAGGACUCGGUUCUAUUUUGUUGGUUUGUUGGGACUGAGUAAUGAUUAAGAGGGACAGUUGGGGGUCCCUGUAUUUCGGCGCUAGAGGUGAAAUUCUUAGAUUGCCGAAAGACAAACUGCUGCGAAAGCGUCGACCAAGGAUGUUUUCAUUGA